Long non-coding RNA from Rosa rugosa (rugosa rose), 2176 nucleotides. RefSeq lists it as uncharacterized. The record is from RefSeq and is a predicted model, not a curated record. The transcript is spliced from 3 exons. NCBI's taxonomy places the organism in Eukaryota, Viridiplantae, Streptophyta, Magnoliopsida, Rosales, Rosaceae.
ACUUUUUGACGGGAAAAUUUUUCGCGACCUUUGUUCGGCUAAAUACUUUUGGAAAUAGUUUGGGCUUGGGCCUUGGGCCCGAGAAUAGCGUAAGGUUAGAGUCCAAAAUUUACUCUGGACACCCAACCGACGGGUAUGCUAGUGAACCUAGCCCAAUAAGUUAGUCAACCUUUGACCCAAACCUCUUCCUUGAUCCAAUAUGGUCCUUGUAGCUCAUAAUGACAUCUUUGCAUAAUUUUGAAAUAUACUUGUGCGUGCGUUUACGAUUUUCUUAUUUUACCUUUCUUAAUAAUUGGCGAAAUUUCUGCUCGCCUUACCCGAAGCUUACUCGUCAAGCAUCUCACCGACUUUCAAAAGCACAAUUUAUUUACUCCUUAUGUUUUUCAAACUCGAGCAAAACUCCGACAAAACUUGCCUUGCCAUUUUUUCUAUCUAAAAAUAAGUUUUGUGAGACCCGAUCCUUAUUUAGCAUUGUCAACACUUUAAUUUGAGUUUUCUUGUAUUUACUUAUUUUACUUUUAUUUUCCCCAUCAUUUUGGGUUUUUACCACCUUAUUCUUUUACCCCAAAUUUAUCUGCCCAAAGCUGAGCCUUCUCCUUCACACGCAAAACUCAGCUUUUCCUCUUUCCUUGUUCACGUCAGAGUUGGACAGAGAGAAAGGGAGCCUCGUUCAGCUCUUCCCCUCCACGUUUCCAUCAUGCAAAGGGCAACUCCUCCAAGAACAUCAUCUCAGACCUUCAAAAGAGAGAACCCAGGCCAUAAAUCGUCAUUCACCCUUCUCUUCUCACCUUUCCUCUCGACCCUGGACACAUCAGUCUGUUUACGAGCCUCGAAACUCCUAGUUAGAGACCUCCGAUGAAAAAACUUUCUUCAUCAAAGUUGUUCGCCUAUGUCUCCUCUAUCUAGCCUCCAAAUAUCAGCUCCAUCGGAAUUGAUUUGAGACCUGUACACCCCUCGAAGCGGAAGCUGUUCCGGAGCAAGCCUGUUCCGGAUUUCUGCUUAAACUUCCUCUCUUGCUCUACCCGAAUCCACAACACCUUGCUUGAGACUGAUACCAACAGUUGUCUCUGUUUCACUUUGCAUGUUCGAGAUUGAGCAAACUUCUUGGCCUGUGGCUGGACUCGAUCCAAUCAGCUCCCUCAGCUCUCUUUCCUGUUGAAAUCCUCAAGAGAAGCUCACUUUUUUGAUUAAUCUUUGGCUUGACAUCGUGGUGGAAUCUUGUGAAGUGGUGGUUGCUACAAGGUUGCAUUGAGGCCAAGUGCUGCAAGAGAAAGCUCGAGUUCCAGGUAGGGGAUGCCUUUAACUCUAUCUAUGCUUUUCUUGCAUAUACUAUGUUUUAUAUGAGGCCUCUUGCAUGGUUUUUGGAAAUUAUCUGUUUUACAAUUGAAAUGGUUUGCGUGGAUUGGAUUGAUGUGUUGGCAAUUGAUGGGGAUGUAAGGAGAGGUCAGUUCCUCCUUGAGCCACCGGUGGUGGGCAGUGUGCACCAUGCCCUUGUUAUCUCCCCUUUGUCUCUAGCCUUGUGAUUAAUGAAUUCCGGAAAGUGAUUGGCUAGAUGGACGGUUGUGAUGGAAGUGUGAAAGAUGACCAAUUGCCGUGGGAUUGUAGUUACGUGGUGACGAUCACGUGGAAGCGCAAACCGGUUUUAUCUACUUCUUUUAUUCAAAACAAUAACUCAUGUUUUUAAACUUAGAUAUGGGGGCGGGCAUGGGCAAUGACUGGAUGUAGGAGCCUAACCCCUACUUUAGUUUGUUUUGCAGGCUGUUGUUGUUGAAGCUUGGGCACGGAGGAUAAUCCUUGGAGGACACAAUUUGUUUUACUCUAUUUAAAGUUUAUUUCUUUUCGGCUUGCUUGAUUUCACUAAAGUUUUGUAACAUUAUGUAUGGUUGAUGAUGUGUGUGCUUGCUUACCACCAAAGUGGAACCCUAGGGUUAGAACCUCCAUUUGAAUUUAGGUCCUAGUGGGCUAGACCUAGAAGACUCACAUAAAUUACCAUUUAAUGAACUUAAUGCAAACUUGGGGCUAAGAACUAAAAAUUGACAUAGGUUCUAAAACUCAACUCAACACCACCUUCCUUUCCUCUUAUUCGCCUAGUUCGUAAUCUUGUGAUUACGAGCCAAGCCCACUAUACAAGCCCAAGAAUUUCAGGCUUAUAGAUUUCUUGCUUUCCAACCUAAAG